CGCGUAGGCGGGCAAGCAAGUCCGGGGUGAAAGCCCCCAGCUCAACUGGGGAAGUGCCUUGGAAACUGCUUGUCUAGAGGGAGGUAGGGGCAUGUGGAACUUCGGGUGGAGCGGCGAAAUGCGUUGAUAUCCGAAGGAACGCCGGUGGCGAAAGCGACGUGCUGGAUCUCUUCUGACGCUGAGGCGCGAAAGCUAGGGUAGCGAACGGGAUUAGAUACCCCGGUAGUCCUAGCCCUAAACGAUGGGUACUAGAUUGCGGACUUAACAUGGGUUCGCAGUCGAAGCAAAAAGUGGUAAAGUACCCCGCCUGGGGAGUAGUGGUCGCAAGGCUGAA
RNAcentral lists this ribosomal RNA (334 nucleotides) under uncultured bacterium. Its description in RNAcentral is "bacterial SSU rRNA". It matches the Rfam family "Bacterial small subunit ribosomal RNA", at positions 568 to 898 of the family's 1533-position model. The record is from RNAcentral.